CUCGGUUUCUGCGGAGGCCGUGUCAGAAGCCGAAACAGCUGGAUUGCAUCUGGGAUUGCCAGAGUGUGCGCUUGUGGGGUUAAGCGUGUGAGGGCUGUGGCGUUCCCGGGUCAUCGCCAGCGUACCUUCUCCUGCAGGAGAUAAACUGCACUCAGCUGAGUCUGCAAGAUUGAGAGGCAUUGGGGUGAUUAGAAGUUGUAAAGGUUUAUUGAAGUCAAAAUGUCUCAAAAAAUCCAAGGCGGUUCUGUAGUAGAGAUGCAAGGAGAUGAAAUGACACGAAUCAUUUGGGAGUUGAUUAAAGAGAAACUUAUUUUUCCCUAUGUGGAAUUGGACCUGCACAGCUAUGAUUUAGGCAUAGAGAAUCGGGAUGCCACCAAUGACCAGGUCACCAAGGAUGCUGCAGAAGCUAUAAAGAAGUACAACGUUGGUGUCAAGUGUGCCACCAUCACCCCCGAUGAGAAGAGGGUGGAGGAGUUCAAGUUGAAACAAAUGUGGAAAUCACCAAAUGGCACCAUCCGAAAUAUUCUGGGUGGCACUGUGUUCAGAGAAGCUAUUAUCUGCAAAAAUAUCCCCCGGCUUGUGAGUGGAUGGGUAAAACCCAUCAUCAUAGGUCGUCAUGCUUAUGGCGAUCAAUACAGAGCAACUGAUUUUGUUGUCCCGGGGCCUGGAAAAGUAGAGAUAUCCUACACGCCAAGCGAUGGAUCCCCCAAAACGACAUACCUGGUACAUAAUUUCACAGAGGGUGGUGGUGUUGCCAUGGGGAUGUACAAUCAAGAUAAGGCAAUCGAAGAUUUUGCACACAGCUCUUUCCUGAUGGCUCUGUCUAAGAAUUGGCCUUUGUAUCUGAGCACCAAAAACACUAUUCUAAAGAAAUAUGAUGGACGUUUUAAAGACAUCUUUCAGGAGAUAUAUGACAAGCAGUACGAAUCUCAGUUUGAAGCUCAGAGUAUCUGGUACGAGCACAGGCUCAUAGAUGACAUGGUGGCCCAAGCUAUGAAAUCAGAGGGAGGCUUCGUCUGGGCCUGUAAAAACUAUGACGGGGAUGUGCAGUCGGACUCCGUGGCCCAAGUCCCACAUGAGCCUGUGAGCAGCUUGAUGGCAGGAGACAACUCAUUAAUCUUUAUUUUCCUGGAACAGCAGAGUAUCUGCACGUUAUGGCUCUCUUGGCAUGAUGACCAGUGUGCUGGUUUGUCCAGAUGGCAAGACAGUAGAAGCAGAGGCUGCCCACGGGACUGUAACACGUCACUACCGAAUGUACCAGAAAGGACAGGAGACAUCCACCAAUCCCAUUGCUUCCAUUUUUGCCUGGACCAGAGGCUUAGCCCACAGAGCUAAACUUGAUAACAAUAAAGACCUCAGCUUCUUUGCAAAGGUUUUGGAAGAAGUCUGUAUUGAGACCAUUGAGGCUGGCUUCAUGACCAAGGACUUGGCUGCUUGUAUUAAAGGUUUACCCAAUGUGCAGCGUUCUGACUACCUGAAUACCUUUGAGUUCAUGGAUAAACUCGGAGAAAACUUGAAGACAAAACUAGCUCAGGCCAAACUUUAAGGUCAUCGCUCGUCUUUGGAGGAUGUGUGUUUUUGGUAACUAGGUCCACUGGUUUACAUUUUUCUCUAUAACACUCAAGAGUAAAGGCAAAAUCAAUUCUGUAAUUUGUUUAGAAGCCAGAGUUUAUCUUUUCUAUAAGUUUACAGCCUUUUUCUUAUCCAUACAGUUAUGCCACCUCUGUGAACGUGGCAGGGGACUUUUUUUAAAUCUUAUUUUAUUUUCUACUAGUAGCCUAGGAAUUACUUUUAGUGUCCAUUUGUACUCACUGUCACUUUUCUUCAUGUUCUGAUAUAAAUGACCAAAAUGAAGAGUGCUUGAAAGGGUAAACUAUAGCCACGGUACUAUUCCCUAAAAUUGUAUAAAGUAGAAAUUCAUUCCCUUUCCCACUUUCCAUGGCCUGUGGCACUGGGUGGAUUUGAUUUAACAGAUGUCCCAUUAUGUGAGGUAGAAGCUGUACGUUAAACUUGCGCAUGAUUUGGAAUGAAAAGCAUGGCUGUAACUAAAAGGUGUUGAAGAAACAGUCAUCCUUGUAAAGAGCUCUAGCUGAAUGUUUCAAAAAUACUACAUAUUUUUGAGCUCACUGGAGAAUCCAGAAUAAAUACUAACUGGGGGUUUGUCCUCUGUGUUUGUCUCCUCCUCCUCGCCUUGUGUGGCCUAAGUAUUAUGCUACCCUGAACGGCGUAUUUCAUCCACGUGCAAUAUAUACUACAAGCUGCACCUUUCUUGGACUUCUGCUGACCUGUUUUAUUUCCUUUAUAUAAAUGUGAUUUUUCAGAAUUUGAUUGUAAACACUAUUCUAGUCCUGUUCUUAAUCUAAACUAUCAAUUUUAAUUAAAAUUAAGUGCUAAUGAGUA
This is an RNA transcript of Balaenoptera musculus (blue whale), 2400 nucleotides long. It is a transcript of the gene named isocitrate dehydrogenase (NADP(+)) 1, with no coding region annotated. Lineage: Eukaryota; Metazoa; Chordata; Mammalia; Artiodactyla; Balaenopteridae. The record is from RefSeq and is a predicted model, not a curated record. The transcript has 11 exons.